RNAcentral lists this small RNA (356 nucleotides) under Arabidopsis thaliana (thale cress). RNAcentral describes it as "ATSL077700". The record is from RNAcentral. Lineage: Eukaryota; Viridiplantae; Streptophyta; Magnoliopsida; Brassicales; Brassicaceae.
GACGAUCACGACUAUCUCCCCGAUUAAUGUCAGUGCGGGAAACCAUACUACGAAGGUCUCGUCUUGCAUGAAUGAUCACGUCACGUGUCAUACGAUUGAUUUUUUUUUUUUUUUUGAAUAUCAGGAGAUUCUGGGUCGAAGCCCGUAAUUCCCCUGGUUCGAAACCACGACAUGUAAUAUUAGUUUCGUCACAAACGUCAAUCGAAUCGGCGAUUUUUAAGUUUCGCCUACGAUCUUUACCAAUUGAUAUGUCUUUAUACAAAAUUUAGUUUCGACAAUAAUGACUAGAAAUUUUUCUCUUAAGAUUUCUUAAUCGUUAGGUGAUGAUCGCGAUUACAAAUAAAAUGCUAAUUAAU